This is a long non-coding RNA of Oryza sativa Japonica Group (Japanese rice), 625 nucleotides long. RefSeq lists it as uncharacterized. Lineage: Eukaryota; Viridiplantae; Streptophyta; Magnoliopsida; Poales; Poaceae. The record is from RefSeq and is a predicted model, not a curated record.
UUCUCUCUCACACUUUCCCUUCCUUCUCUCGCUUUUUUCUUCUCUCUCGGCUGCUUGCAGGCAGGAGAGCGCCGGCAGCGAUCCAAAUGGCGUAGGCAGGAGGGCGCCGGAGGGCAGGGCACCGGGGUGCGCCAGGGUAGAGGGAGGGAGCUCCGGCACGGUUGGGGAUGCGACGAGAGCGGCUGUGCUCGGCGGGCGCGGCAACGAUAGGACCGCGGUGGCUUUGGGCCGGCGGCGCAGCUUGGUUCGGCUUCGGCGAUGGCGUGGUGCGAGCUCGACGCACGCGUGGCGUCCAGGAGCCAGAAGGAGGAUGGGGGCGGCGUCGGGCGGCUCGGCGGCGCUCGGGAAGGAAGGGCGUGACGUUGGCGGGCAGAUAGAAGACCUCCUUCCCCACGCCACUUCUUCGAUCUAGAAGUGGCGCGGUGAUGAACGACGCGGUGAUGAAUGACGGACGAAGAAGUGACGGACGAAAAAUCACGUGGGUGAAAAAGAUGUGACGAAAAAUCACGCGGGUGAAAAGAUGCGACGACCGGAAAAAUAUAUUACUAGCAAAAAGUGUCCGUGGGUUGCAACGGAAAGUGUACAGACUAGAAAAUUAAGAAAAAUUUAAGAAAAAUUUACAUUA